UGCGUAGGCGGAUUUAUAAGUCAGUGGUGAAAACCUGCAGCUUAACUGUAGAACUGCCAUUGAUACUGUUAGUCUUGAGUACGGUCAAGGUAGGCGGAAUGUGUAAUGUAGCGGUGAAAUGCUUAGAUAUUACACAGAACACCGAUUGCGAAGGCAGCUUACUGGGCCAUUACUGACGCUGAGGCACGAAAGCGUGGGGAGCGAACAGGAUUAGAUACCCUGGUAGUCC
RNAcentral lists this ribosomal RNA (229 nucleotides) under uncultured bacterium. Its description in RNAcentral is "partial 16S ribosomal RNA". It matches the Rfam family "Bacterial small subunit ribosomal RNA", at positions 568 to 796 of the family's 1533-position model. The record is from RNAcentral.